Molecule: long non-coding RNA, 611 nt
Organism: Dendronephthya gigantea
Lineage: Eukaryota; Metazoa; Cnidaria; Anthozoa; Malacalcyonacea; Nephtheidae
Exons: 2
Source: RefSeq, a predicted model, not a curated record
GGCACGUAGCAGGUUGAAAGGAUUUGCGGGCUACAAAAUCUCGGACAACAUGUCGGACGCAAAAGUGAACGUGGAUUCUGACAUUUCAAAGGCGAAAUACGCCGAGCAGAACAGAAUUAAUACGUACAAGAUAUUAGCAAAAUAUAGGAAACGAAACAUGUUGAUGUUUAGCGGGUUAUUGGCUUCUGUUUGCGGAAUUUAUGCAUACUCUAUGUUUGCUGUGAGACAAGAAGAUUUUUCAGACUUUGAGAAAUGAGAUUUGUUGAGUUUCAUGUGGUUAAACAACAAAAGUGCAAAGCCAAAUUUUCUAAGAUAUGUUAUAGACCUGAAAACUUCACAUCAUGACAGAACUGCAAGCUGUAAAUAGCAGUUGCAACCAAGUUAUGCUACAUAAACUCUUGGUAUCUUAAGUAUAUUUUGUACUCAUCUGUGACAUAGACAGUGUUAAACAAAAUGUAGCUAAAACAAAUAUUUGGCAAAAGAAAACAUCUUACAAUAUUACAAUCUUUACAGUAUGGCUUAAUUACAAAAUAAAAGUUAUGUAGCAUAGUACUUAGUGUAAAAAUGUUUUGAUGUGGCAAAAAUUUUUAUCUUUACAUGAAAAUAUUUUC